ACAUCACAAACAAAGGUAUCCUCACUUCCCCUCCUACAAAGGAAUGCAAACACCUGGGGAAAGGCUGGAUCCCAAGAGACCCCUGAAGCCCCAAGAGCUCCCCUGAUUGUUCCAAAGCAACAAUCCCCCCCAUGAACAACUCAGGGACCCCCUCGAUCCACGGCGUGAGGCCCACCAGCAGAGGAAGAGGAGCGUCCAGUCCUGACUCCCACUAGGCGCAGGGGAGCCGAGCUCCUCUUUGGGUGGAUUAAAACAGACUUGGACAGAGUCUGGAAAAACAAACUCCUUUAAGACAAGACAAAGAUUGAGUCUGGCCAACUGGCUAUUUUCAAUCCUUGCUGAACGGAGUCAAGGCAGUCGGUAGUAACAGCUUGUGGCCAUCCGCAAUUGUUCUCCCCGCACGAGAGGGUGGAGCCUCCUGGAAGUGACCAGAGCCGGUGACUUCGGGAAUCAACCCUCCUGAAACAGCCGAUGGCCUAGAUUCCCCAAAGCUCGCUGGAUGCACAUCCCUUGCUCAGCAGUCCACAUCAUCCGUAUCUCUCAUCCCACAGCCGCGGGCUGCCCAGCCAGGUGAGAAAAACAGGGGCGUCCACACACCCCGUUUGAGA
Molecule: long non-coding RNA, 608 nt
Organism: Pan troglodytes (chimpanzee)
Lineage: Eukaryota; Metazoa; Chordata; Mammalia; Primates; Hominidae
Exons: 3
Source: RefSeq, a predicted model, not a curated record